GAGAAACGCUGGCGGCGCACAUAAGACAUGCAAGUCGAACGGAGUUUAGUCGAAUGUUUACAUGAGACGAAGACUUAGUGGCGGACUGGUGAGUAACACGUGAGCAACCUGCCUCUAAGAGGGGAAUAACAGUGAGAAAUCAUUGCUAAUACCGCAUGAUACCUUGACCAAAGAUUUAUCGCUGAGAGAUGGGCUCGCGUCCGAUUAGGUAGAUGGUGGGGUAACGGCCUACCAUGCCGACGAUCGGUAGCCGGACUGAGAGGUUGAUCGGCCACAUUGGGACUGAGAUACGGCCCAGACUCCUACGGGAGGCAGCAGUGGGGAAUAUUGGGCAAUGGGGGAAACCCUGACCCAGCAACGCCGCGUGAAGGAAGAAGGCCUUCGGGUUGUAAACUUCUUUUAGCAGGGACGAAGAACGUGACGGUACCUGCAGAAAAAGCAACGGCUAACUACGUG
This 456-nucleotide ribosomal RNA is filed under the name uncultured bacterium. RNAcentral describes it as "bacterial SSU rRNA". It matches the Rfam family "Bacterial small subunit ribosomal RNA", at positions 28 to 507 of the family's 1533-position model. The record is from RNAcentral.